AGCAUAUGGAGGUUGCCCAUCAUAGACAGUGAAUUUGGUACCCAAAAAGUUUGAUCUGAGUUUCCCAACAUAGGUGCCACUUCCCUUUGACAUGUCAUCUGCGUCUAAAGAGAUAAGGUAGUCAGUGCAGGUAGGUCGUCGAUACCUACGUGCAGCAAGGAGGAACUUGCCAUUAUCCGUUAAUGCUUGGGUCAGACCGAUGUAAAGGUGGUACGAUUGAGUAGCCUGGUUACGCUUUAUAAAACACUGGAGAGGAAAUUCUCUAGGGCCGGGCUGUUUCAGCGAUAUGGGGAACGUCAGCUUCCCGGCCACCUCCGGCGUCUUCACAAUCUCCUUCAUAAUCUCCCUCCAGCU
This 354-nucleotide unclassified non-coding RNA is filed under the name Hevea brasiliensis (rubber tree). The record is from RNAcentral. Lineage: Eukaryota; Viridiplantae; Streptophyta; Magnoliopsida; Malpighiales; Euphorbiaceae.